This 110-nucleotide small RNA is filed under the name Mytilus galloprovincialis (Mediterranean mussel). Lineage: Eukaryota; Metazoa; Mollusca; Bivalvia; Mytilida; Mytilidae. The record is from RNAcentral.
CCAUGGUUGGGACCACGGUUGACCAUGGUUGGAACCACGGUUGACCAUGGUUCCUACCAUGGUUGACCAUGGUUCUAACAAUGGUCAACCAUGGUCAUUAAAACCAUGGU